RNAcentral lists this ribosomal RNA (465 nucleotides) under Vreelandella stevensii. RNAcentral's name for it is "partial 16S ribosomal RNA". It matches the Rfam family "Bacterial small subunit ribosomal RNA", at positions 338 to 795 of the family's 1533-position model. The record is from RNAcentral. Lineage: Bacteria; Pseudomonadati; Pseudomonadota; Gammaproteobacteria; Oceanospirillales; Halomonadaceae.
CCUACGGGGGGCAGCAGUGGGGAAUAUUGGACAAUGGGGGGAACCCUGAUCCAGCCAUGCCGCGUGUGUGAAGAAGGCCCUCGGGUUGUAAAGCACUUUCAGUGAGGAAGAACGCCUGGUGGUUAAUACCCAUCAGGAAAGACAUCACUCACAGAAGAAGCACCGGCUAACUCCGUGCCAGCAGCCGCGGUAAUACGGAGGGUGCGAGCGUUAAUCGGAAUUACUGGGCGUAAAGCGCGCGUAGGUGGCUUGAUAAGCCGGUUGUGAAAGCCCCGGGCUCAACCUGGGAACGGCAUCCGGAACUGUCCAGCUAGAGUGCAGGAGAGGAAGGUAGAAUUCCCGGUGUAGCGGUGAAAUGCGUAGAGAUCGGGAGGAAUACCAGUGGCGAAGGCGGCCUUCUGGACUGACACUGACACUGAGGUGCGAAAGCGUGGGUAGCAAACAGGAUUAGAUACCCGAGUAGUC